Non-coding RNA from Ciona intestinalis (vase tunicate), 347 nucleotides. Lineage: Eukaryota; Metazoa; Chordata; Ascidiacea; Phlebobranchia; Cionidae. The record is from RefSeq and is a predicted model, not a curated record.
UUUGCGAGUAAAUAUGCGAGUACUUACGCGCAUAAAAGUGACCAUGCAAAAAGGGUAUAUGUUAUUGCGUGCAGUUAUUUUACCCAAAAGUCUAUCAAAUUAAGUUAUGUUCCGGUUCUCUCUUUUGUUACGUCAUCGCCUUUUUUCUCUUGCAUUCUCUUUGUUCAUUACGUGGCAAUUUCAGUUUAGUUUAUACUUAAGUGAUUUGAAUGGACGUUGGUGCUAAACUUCUGUUGUGAACGGAAGUAGUUUAUAGCCACAAGUUUUCAGUUACCGCAAUCCACAAAUAAUACAAUUAAAAGAUUUGCGCGUUUGACUGAUUGGCUAUAUCACCAACGAAGAGAAAA